This 206-nucleotide ribosomal RNA is filed under the name uncultured bacterium. RNAcentral describes it as "partial 16S ribosomal RNA". It matches the Rfam family "Bacterial small subunit ribosomal RNA", at positions 568 to 774 of the family's 1533-position model. The record is from RNAcentral.
CGCGUAGGCGGUUGGAUAAGUCAGCUGUGAAAACCACGGGCUUAACUCGUGGCCUGCAGUUGAGACUGUCUGGCUUGAGUGUGGGGAGAGGAGAGUGGAAUUCCUGGUGUAGCGGUGAAAUGCGUAGAUAUCAGGAGGAACACCGGUGGCGAAGGCGGCUCUCUGGACCACAACUGACGCUGAGGCGCGAAGCUAGGGAGCAAACA